GGGUACUGUGGGUAAAAGGGAGGAUAGGGCAUAAAGGUGGGAUAUGGGUUAUAGCUGAAGAAAUCCGACGUACCUCCCAUCGGAUACCCUGGCCCUUGCGGGUAGGGUGGAUACUGUGGUGGAAUAAAACCCGAGGCCUGAGUGCCUCCUUGGGACUCUCCCAUAUCCUCUACUGACAUACUCAUGCCCAAACUACUAUCUCUUCUCCGGUUAUCCUCCUCUGUUUCCAUCACAUCCGCUGACAUACCUUCAUGAACUGAUCUCCUCCGACCUGCAUCAAAAGACCUUCUAGGGUCCCUUGAUGUACUUUCCCUGAUCGUCCUACAAGAUCUUGCCCUCUGCAGAGCAGGGGAAUGGGCA
This 360-nucleotide long non-coding RNA is filed under the name Manihot esculenta (cassava). RNAcentral describes it as "long non-coding RNA (MESC_LNC000396)". The record is from RNAcentral. Lineage: Eukaryota; Viridiplantae; Streptophyta; Magnoliopsida; Malpighiales; Euphorbiaceae.